GUCUACGGUCACGCCACCCCGAACAAGCCCGAUCCCGUCUGAUCUCGGAAGCUAAGCAGGGUCGGGCCUGGUUAGUACUUGGAUGGGAGACCGCCUGGGAAGACCGGACGGGCGUAAAAA
RNAcentral lists this ribosomal RNA (120 nucleotides) under Pteropus alecto (black flying fox). The record is from RNAcentral. Lineage: Eukaryota; Metazoa; Chordata; Mammalia; Chiroptera; Pteropodidae.